UUGGAGGGCAAGUCUGGUGCCAGCAGCCGCGGUAAUUCCAGCUCCAAUAGCGUAUAUUAAAGUUGUUGCAGUUAAAAAGCUCGUAGUUGAAUUUCGGGACCAAUUUGUUGGUCGUGCCUCGGUACGUACUGGUAUUAUUGGUUUCUCCCUUCUGAAGAGCCUUGAUGUCAUUAAUUUGGUGUCUUGGGGAAUCAGGACUGUUACUUUGAAAAAAUUAGAGUGUUUAAAGCAGGCAUACGCUUGAAUACAUUAGCAUGGAAUAAUGAAAUAGGACGUUUGACUCUAUUUUGUUGGUUUCUAGGAUCGACGUAAUGAUUAAUAGGGAUAGUUGGGGGCAUUAGUAUUCAAUUGUCAGAGGUGAAAUUCUUGGAUUUAUUGAAGACUAACUACUGCGAAAGCAUUUGCCAAGGAUGUUUUCAUUAAUCAAGAACGAAAGUUAGGGGAUCGAAGACGAUCAGAUACCGUCGUAGUCUUAACCAUAAACUAUGCCGACUAGGGAUCGGAUGAUGUUAAUUUUUUAAUGACUCAUUCGGCGCCUUACGGGAAAC
RNAcentral lists this ribosomal RNA (548 nucleotides) under uncultured Glomus. RNAcentral's name for it is "SSU rRNA". It matches the Rfam family "Eukaryotic small subunit ribosomal RNA", at positions 548 to 1098 of the family's 1831-position model. Lineage: Eukaryota; Fungi; Glomeromycota; Glomeromycetes; Glomerales; Glomeraceae. The record is from RNAcentral.